UCUACUGACACAGGCCUUCAGCCAGCAGAUGCCUGUGGAUGUUUAGAGACCAUGAAACCACCUCGUGUGACUUGCUGCCAUUAGGAGCCUCUCAUGAAGCACUUCUGCUGGAUUCAAUAUUUACAUUGAGAGAGAUUCAAAUCUCAGAAGUUGUCAAGGACUUGUAUUUAGAGCUGGAAAACCAUCUCACUUGAUCUUCUUCAGUUAUUUCACCUUGCUUCCUUGGGCAAUAAGUCAUGCAGACCAAUUACUGGUCCUGCUGUGAAGCUGGGUGGGACUGAAGUGGCUCAACACAGCACUCUUGGGAACAGCACCUUAGACAUGCUGUAAUAUGCAUUCAGUACAGAAGGAGCAUUGCCAUCUUGCUGAAGUUCAGCACUGCAGCACCUACUUCAUGUCUAACAUAUUUGGGAAUUACAAAUUGCCUGACACUCCCCAAGAGCAUUGAAUGCAGUACAGAUCUGGAGGGGAAAGGAUGCUUUUCAUAAUGUGGACAUGAACACUUCUGAAUACUCAGACAGAAAGCCUGUCUCUGUAUGAAGGAGAGGAAUCCUUUUCAUUAGCACAUUUAAGUACAGACUUACCCCAGCAGUCAGAUCACUGCCCUGCCACACUUCACAUUUUAAAGACCAUGUAGGAUAUGCUAGCAUGAUAUUACUAUAGUUUUUUUUUGAAGAAGAUUUUCUUCCUGUGGUCCAUUUUAUCUUUGCCAGUUAUAAGUUGUUUCAAUCUGGAGUUGACUGACUGCAGCUCCUGAGGCACACCAGCUGCCAUGCUGCAGUGCAGCACCGACCUCUGUGUUCUGGAUGACUCCAACAGAACUGUUUGAGUAAUUUGACAUUAAAAUAAUGUUCAGUGA
This is a non-coding RNA of Lonchura striata (white-rumped munia), 859 nucleotides long. The record is from RefSeq and is a predicted model, not a curated record. NCBI's taxonomy places the organism in Eukaryota, Metazoa, Chordata, Aves, Passeriformes, Estrildidae.